CCAGCAGUGAUGAAGCAUUAAUGUGUAAGGAGAACCUUUAUUUGGUUUCUUCGAGGAAAUAUAAGUACGCUUGGCUUCUGAGCUAA
Small nucleolar RNA from Rhodamnia argentea, 86 nucleotides. RefSeq annotates it as small nucleolar RNA R24. The record is from RefSeq and is a predicted model, not a curated record. NCBI's taxonomy places the organism in Eukaryota, Viridiplantae, Streptophyta, Magnoliopsida, Myrtales, Myrtaceae. The transcript has a single exon.